RNAcentral lists this small RNA (527 nucleotides) under Pongo abelii (Sumatran orangutan). RNAcentral describes it as "processed transcript". Lineage: Eukaryota; Metazoa; Chordata; Mammalia; Primates; Hominidae. The record is from RNAcentral.
GGCCACUUUCUCAGAAACAGAAAAGACAGCAGCAAUCUGGAGAAGCUCUUCUGGGAAACCUGGAGCUUUUAUCUUCAGUGUUAUAAAGAGAACAUCUUUCCUUAUAAUUAGGCUUGGGUGUGGAUUUCGGCUUUGUCAUUUAUGGGAUAGUGACCCCAGACUUGUCGUAGCUGAUUCAACUUCACAUAUAUGGUUUCAUCAGUUUCACCCUUUUCUGUGUGCAGCUGAUUUUAGAAAGAUUGCUUCCUUGUAUGGUAGCGAUAAGUUUGAUUUGCCCUAUGGGAUGAGAACAUCAGUGAUUGGCCCUAUAUGGCAUUAAGUUCUAGAUUUUUGAGGGAUCAUAAAAGCCCAAGGUAACAAGCCUACAGCAUUCGGAAUAUUUUCGACUUGCUCUUUCAAAACUGCAGAGUUGUGAUCUCUUUGAUGAGUUUGACAAAACGCGUAUCACAAUGUGACUGCAGAGCAGCUCUUUUUGAAGGACAUUAUAGAAAAAAACCUUGUAAUCAACUUGACUCAAGAUUGACUCU